AUCCCUUGACAUCCAGUGAAUUAUCUAGAGAUAGAUAAGUGCCUUCGGGAACACUGAGACAGGUGCUGCAUGGCUGUCGUCAGCUCGUGUUGUGAGAUGUUGGGUUAAGUCCCGCAACGAGCGCAACCCUUAUCCUUAGUUGCCAGCACGUAAUGGUGGGAACUCUAGGGAGACUGCCGGUGACAAACCGGAGGAAGGUGGGGAUGACGUCAGGUCAUCAUGGCCCUUACGGCCAGGGCUACACACGUGCUACAAUGGUGCGCACAGAGGGCUGCAAACCCGCGAGGGGGAGCCAAUCUCACAAAACGCAUCGUAGUCCGGAUCGCAGUCUGCAACUCGACUGCGUGAAGUCGGAAUCGCUAGUAAUCGUGAAUCAGAAUGUCACGGUGAAUACGUUCCCGGGCCU
This 406-nucleotide ribosomal RNA is filed under the name uncultured bacterium. Its description in RNAcentral is "bacterial SSU rRNA". It matches the Rfam family "Bacterial small subunit ribosomal RNA", at positions 973 to 1381 of the family's 1533-position model. The record is from RNAcentral.